Numida meleagris (helmeted guineafowl) is the source of this 5485-nucleotide long non-coding RNA. RefSeq lists it as uncharacterized. The transcript has 3 exons. The record is from RefSeq and is a predicted model, not a curated record. Lineage: Eukaryota; Metazoa; Chordata; Aves; Galliformes; Numididae.
AGGGGCGGCUCCUCGCGCCCUAACGGUCGCCGCGCGCCUGCUUCAUCCCGCCCAAGCGCUCAGGGCGCGCUCCUGCACGGGGCAGCGGUGGGCGCCGAGGGGCUGACGGGGCGGGUCCGUGCCUGCGUUCCGCUGGUGUCCUUCCCAAGUUCUUCACGUGGUCACACUGAGAUAGCCAGCGUUACGUGAGGGACCGGCCACCGGCGUUGUAGGCGUCCCAAAGCCGUCAGCAAUUUUGGGCGGCGUGUUCAUAAUUGUAAUACUCUUUAGUGCCAUGCCAGCAGUAAUGAUUUCAGUUGUGGAAAACACGAGAGACUCGGGAAGGCGUUCACGCCCCCCAUCUCAGCAGGGCGGGAAGUCUCUGAGAGGUCGCACCUGGCCGCUUUUGUCAGCCCCAGUCCCACCUCUCACCAUGGGCUGUUGGGUCUCCUCACAGCAGCUCUGCCCCGGAGCCUGGAGCCGCAGUCGGAGCUGAGCAGUGCUGUGCGCUUCUCCGCUGGAGCACGGAAACGCGCUUUGAUUCCUCAAGAGAGAAGAGGAAGGAGGUGACAAGAAGUGCAGCUCCUACAUCUGGCACCUGGAGGCAGUGUUAUUUGUUACCUCACAGUUCAAUUGACUUAGCACUAUGCCACAUCUCUGCCACAGUCUACAGAAGUCCUUGACAGCGAGUUCAGAUUUUUGAAGCACAAGAAGCUCCUGAAUCCAGUCUGGUUGCCCUGAUCUUCACCGUCUAUUACAUCUUAUUUUAGAUCACAGACAGCCCUCUUAGCUAUCUUGCUUCUGGAGCGUUUCUUUCUUCAGGAAAGAAGGCUUUCUGUAUUUUGCCCAGUCUAAGUCUGUUGUUCCCGUUACCACUACUCUGGCAACAAUGAAUUUAGACCACAUAAUUUCAGAAACCAGAAAAACACAUUAGAAGGUGUCCAUUCAAAAUCGGUGGUAUUAUGGGCAGAGCCUCUCUUAUUAAAGAAAGUUACAUUCAGCCUAGUGACCUUCUGUCAUAGCUCAUUAAGGAAAAUCAGAAUUAAUAUACUUCUAUUUCUUCAUUUCCAACCAUGGAAAGUUAUGUCUCUGGCAUGUAGGCUCCAUUUCUCUUUAGAAAUUCUGCUUAGGCUUGUAGCCUAGAUAUAUACAUUGAUUUAUUUGUGCCAAGAAAAUAUCACUGACAGUUAUUUAUGAGUGAAGAAAAGUAGACAAUGAAAUCCAUAGCACCUGGCAUAGUAUGGACUUUAAUCUUUGGAGUGCCUUUUGAAUGCCAUAUUAAAAAACAAUACAUAGUUGAAAAAGAAGAGUGUUUUCUCUUUUAUGACAUACAUCUGUCUGUUGACAUGGAAUUACUGAAUUUUUCUUUUUGAUGUAGACUUAGUUUAGUACUAUUUAAAAAACAUUCAUAUACUACCAGUUCUCAUUUUAUAAACUUCAUCUGCCUGGACACAAACAGUAUAUACAAUAGAACAAUGUCUUUUUCAUAUUAAAAAAAAGAAGUAUCAUUUUGCACGAGUUACAAAGCCAUAGCCAUCUGACACUGGUGGCAGAUACUGAGUUCAGAUGAGGAGAGUGCUCUUUAUUCACUGACACAUAACAAUUAAUGGCAAAAGGAAAGAGUUCAACUGUUUGUUCUGAAAUCUGUGGUUUGGGAUUGUUGUUUAGAUUUAUGAACUGGAAAGAUGUUGCUUCUCCUUGCAAAACAGACUAACGUUAUAUUAAAAUAAAAAUUGAAACAUUUGAAAGAAACUAAAUGACUUGGGAGACUAAAUUUGCAUCCUUGCAACUUCAUUGUGUCUCCUUUUUCUGUCAUCUCUGUCCAGAAAAAAUAGAGAGGUUACAUCAGCACAUCCAAGUCCAAAGUUUAGCAAUUCCCCUUUAAUAUUGUGCCCCUUUAGUAUGGUUUAUAAUCUCUCUAUUGGUUGUGUGUCAGCUUUUAUGAAAACAUCCCCCUGAAAUUUAGUUGCACUAUCUCUGCAACCACAGUAACUCCUACUUUGGGGUUUCAUACCUUGAGAUUACUGACAAAAUAUCUGUCCUUCUCCCAUGUUUUUCCAAUUAACAUUAUUGAUGGAAGUUGCCCAUAGGAAACUGCUCAAGAUUGAAUGCAUCUGUGAUACAGAUGGAAGAGUUUCAUGUGGCAUGAAGCAUGUUCUGCACUAGGUGGUGCUCAUGGAAACUAGAGUCUCCUUCGCACUCCAGUAAAUUUACUCCCAUUAUCUUAAAAAUAAGAGGAGAACAAAGAUAUUUUGAGACGUGCAGGAUGGAGAUUUCUUAGAUUGUGAAUGGGCCCUUUUGAGGAAGGGAUUCUCAAGAAACAUGAGACAAAUUCUUCUGAAAGUGACUUAUUUGUGCUGAAAGGUUACAUGAAUGUCAAAAUAUGUCUGCUGUUCCUAAGGGACUGAAGCCCCUUGUAGUAAGGUCCUUUACCACAGCUAGAAUUUCUGCUUUUCCAGUAAAAAGAUCUCUCAACCCAUACAACCACUCAGAAUGUCAGACUUACUAUGUCUUACCUAAAGAAAAUGGAAAGAAUUUUCAAAAACAGAUACUUCAUCACAAGCACUAUUGAAAAUCGUGUGGAUUCUAACAUGGAAGUUUAGAAGUCUGAAUACAGCAUCUUCUUUUAAGAACUUUGUUCAACAUGUCCAAAUUUGAUUGCAUUCAGCUAGUCUUUUAAGUGCAUUAGUGAGACAUGUAAAUAAAAACACUGCUAUUCAGAGGUGUGCUGAGCACUCUCUCUUCUACUGCCAUCAGUGUGAGCUUAAAAGAUUAUUAACUGUGAAGACAGAGGUUCUUUAAUUUAGGUACCUCAUACCGUUUCCUACAAACUUCAGCAUCCAGGUUUUAAAAUUGUGGCUGUAACCACCUAGGUCCCUAGAGAUGACCCCUCAAAUCUUUAAUGAUGAGGAAGUGGCUUGAGUUAUCUUGAUGCUUCCCAGAUAAUGUGUAGACAAAGAAUGUCUGCGUUAUUCCUUUUCAGACUGAAAUCCACAGAUCUAGUAGUAGGGAGGAAGCCUGGAAAACAAAGACCUCCUUGUCAGAGAUGCUGGUUUCAGUUGGGAACAGUCACUUGGCCUGUUUAGUUAAUAAGCCCCAGAAAGCUGAAUUAGAAAGAGCAAAUGAUAUUAGUUUAGAAGGUCAGAGGGUUAACAGUGGAAGGAGCAGUAGUACUCAUGGUCGUUUUCUAAGCAAAGUUUAGCAGUACAAAACAAAGAUGGGGGAAAGAUGGAUACAAGAUAGAUAGAACACCUAUAGCUUACAUCUUACUGGACCUUGUCUUCUGACAUAAACUGAUGUAUCUUCACUGGAACAGUUAUACUAGUAAGGACUAACUCCAAACCCCUAGACUUAUGACUGUUUUGAGAUAGGCUCAUGGAAAACCUUUGAUAGCACGUUUGGAAUUCUAAAUUGAAUUAACAGAUGAGAUUCCUGUUUCCUGGUUCUAAUUUAUGUGGAAUGCUAAUUUUUUUUUUUUUUUUUUUUUUUUGGCUGCCAGAUGUAGUAGAAAGCUUUUGAAUUUAACAUAUACACAAAGGUCAGGGCACCAGAGUAAAACCUGGGAUUGUGCAAAUGUUAUGGCCCCGAUAGCUUCAGGACAUGGCCCUGCUGGGACUUCAGUCCAGACCUAAAUGGAAAUAUACUCCUUUGAAUUCACUCAUUCUUCUUCCAGACAUUUGGAUAAAAAAUAACGCAGUCCUUUAUCCCUGGAGACAAAGAUCCUUUAAGAGUCUCCAGUAUCUAAGGUAAUCCAUGCAUCAGCUUGGUCCAUCUGCCUGACUAAAUCUUAAUAGACCUGGGUCAUCUUUAGAGAGGAGCCGACAGUUUGAUUACUUUUAUAUUGACAGCUACAGCUUUUCUAAUACCUUUUGCUAAGCAAAAGAGAAUUACAGUGCUUCUGAAAGCCUCUGUGAAAAUCACUGAUUUCUAAUGCAAUGAUAUCCUCCUCAUGAGAAAGAAACAACUUCUCUGCAUUAGUGAUGAUGGGAAGUAUUCGCAGUCUAACUCAACAGUGUCACAAGCUGAAAUACCACGUCAAGGCUGCAAACAUGCAGAGCACUGCUCUCACUUUCCUAUCCUUGCUGAGUUAUUUGUUGUGGCCACACAGGGAAACUACCAGGCAUAGCUCAACAGAAAGGUUGGAUUUCAAGAGUUACUUCGUCAGUAUCUCUACCCAUUUCCUGACUCAAAUGCAGAUUGACAGGUUCCUAUUUAAAACAUCAUUUGAGUUACUAUUUAAAAGACUAUGACAGGGGAACAGUAACCUUGUUCCUUGCUCACCUACAGAACCCUACUUGAUUUGAAGAAGGCUUGAUUUUCUUUCUUAGAGAGAGUAAUGCAGAUCAGUAUGACCCCACCUGGAGAGCCCAGGAGGCAGAUUUGGGCUUCAGAGCACUCCUGUACAUCAGCCUGUGCAAACAGCUGCCACUCACAGAAGCCUCUGAUCCUUGGCUCCCCUAGCCUAGGCUCUUCGUUAAGAUGCCUGUGAGCAGGUACAAAUGACUUCAUUGCUUAAAGAGAUCUUCAUUACCUUUUUUGGAGCGAAUGUGCUUGUCUGGACAGAAGCAUCCCCAAAAUCAUUUGAAACAGCCUGAAAUCUCUCCAGCAUUUCAGCUUGGGAUUAGUGGGUAUUCUUUCAACUGUUAAUGAGAGUGCAGUAGAAUAUACAACACUGAAUACAUUCGUAUUACAUUUCACCUAUUGUCAUGCUGGAGGCCCAUGGUAAAUUAAUUUGGCAGAUAAAUUUACGAUGGCAAUUUGCCUUCCAGUUGUAUAAUUUAUUCAUGUCAGAAAUAAUUUAUUAUACUCCUCUUUAAGCCAUUCUUUUUUGGGGGUACCACCUUAGUAAAUAAAAUUUAUUGUUUACCCUGAGCCUUGUGUGUCUUCACAGUGGUCAGUCAAUAACCUCAAGGGGAUAGUUUUAGUCACAUUACUGGUCACUUAUUUGGAUGGAUGAUGAAGUGCCCUGGUCCCAUCUGUACAUAUAUUACUUUCUUUUGUCUUAGUGACACUGCUGGAAAGAUUAAUUAGGUCCAUCUGCAGGGAAAGAUCAGCCUUAGGGGAUUCAGGUGAAUAAAAUAAAUGCCAAGGGGAAAAAACUGCUGACAGGGGUGUUUUGGAAAUCAAACUGUUUUCCAUAACAUGAAUGGGGAAAUUACAUAAAGCAGGGACUUGAAAGAAAAGUAAAACUGCCAUUUAGUUUGGUUAUUUCAGCAUGACCUGAUAAAUAUCUCCUACUGCCGCUGCAGGAUAAGGAUCUAUGCUAAGGGUUAAAGUCCAUGGACAAUAUUCUCAGCUAUGUAAAUCAGAAUAGCUUUCUGAUCUCAGUGGAGCUACCCUCACUUUAUGAUGGUACAGAUUUGAGUCAUUUCUGUCAUAGUGAUAUUAUUUCUGUCCUUCAUUAGCGUGAUCCAAGAUGUGAAGUAAGCUAAUCUGGAUUCACAUUCUGUCUCCUCUUUUUUUAUUUUUUAUUUUUAAUUAUUCUAACAGUGCUGUAUUCACUGUG